AACGAACGCUGGCGGCAGGCCUAACACAUGCAAGUCGAGCGCCCCGCCAGUGGAGCGGCAGACGGGUGAGUAACGCGUGGGAACGUACCUUUUGGUUCGGAACAACCCCGGGAUACUGGAGCUAAUACCGGAUAAGCCCUAACGGGGUAAGAUUUAUCGCCGAAAGAUCGGCGCGCGUCUGAUUCGCUAGUUGGUGAGGUAACGGCUCACCAAGGCGAGGAUCAGUAGCUGGUCUGAGAGGAAGAGCAGACACACUGGCGCUGGGACACAGCCGAGACUCCUACGGGAGGCGGGAGUGCGGAAUAUAGGACAAUGGGCGCAAGGCUGAUGCAGCCAUGCCGCGUGAGUGAUGAAGUCGUUAGGGUAGAAAAGCUCUUUUGUCCGGGAAGAUAAUGACUGUACCGGAAGAAUAAGCCCCGGCUAACUUCGUG
RNAcentral lists this ribosomal RNA (431 nucleotides) under uncultured bacterium. RNAcentral's name for it is "partial 16S ribosomal RNA". It matches the Rfam family "Bacterial small subunit ribosomal RNA", at positions 29 to 507 of the family's 1533-position model. The record is from RNAcentral.